CUGACCUCAAAUCAGGUAGGACUACCCGCUGAACUUAAGCAUAUCAAUAAGCGGAGGAAAAGAAACUAACAAGGAUUCCCCUAGUAACUGCGAGUGAAGCGGGAAAAGCUCAAAUUUAAAAUCUGGCGGUCUUUGGCCGUCCGAGUUGUAGUCUGGAGAAGCGUCUUCCGCGYUGGACCGUGUACAAGUCUCUUGGAACAGAGCGUCAUAGAGGGUGAGAAUCCCGUCUUUGACACGGACUACCAAUGCUUUGUGAUGCGCUCUCAAAGAGUCGCGUUGUUUGGGAAUGCAGCGCAAAAUGGGAGGUGAAUUCCUUCUAAAGCUAAAUAUUGGCGAGAGACCGAUAGCGAACAAGUACCGUGAGGGAAAGAUGAAAAGCACUUUGGAAAGAGAGUUAAACAGUACGUGAAAUUGCUAAAAGGGAAACGCUUGAAGUCAGUCGCGUCGUCCGGAACUCAGCUUUGCUUCGGCUUAGUGCACUUUCCGGUUGACGGGCCAGCAUCGAUUUUGACCGCUGGAAAAGGGCUGGAGGAAUGUGGCACCUUCGGGUGUGUUAUAGCCUUCAGUCGCAUACAGCGGUUGGGAUCGAGGAACGCAGCGCGCCUUAUGGCUGGGGUUCGCCCACAUUCGCGCUUAGGAUGCUGGCAUAAUGGCUUUAAACGACCCGUCUUGAAACACGGACCAAGGAGUCUAACAUGCCUGCGAGUGUUUGGGUGGAAAACCCGAGCGCGUAAUGAAAGUGAAAGUUGAGACCUCUGUCGUGGAGGGCAUCGACGCCCGGACCUGACGUUUUCUGAAGGAUCCGCGGUAGAGCAUGUAUGUUGGGACCCGAAAGAUGGUGAACUAUGCCUGAAUAGGGUGAAGCCAGAGGAAACUCUGGUGGAGGCUCGUAGCGAUUCUGACGUGCAAAUCGAUCGUCAAAUUUGG
RNAcentral lists this ribosomal RNA (927 nucleotides) under Trametes versicolor. RNAcentral's name for it is "eukaryotic LSU rRNA". It matches the Rfam family "Eukaryotic large subunit ribosomal RNA", at positions 1 to 914 of the family's 3401-position model. The record is from RNAcentral. Lineage: Eukaryota; Fungi; Basidiomycota; Agaricomycetes; Polyporales; Polyporaceae.